This 87-nucleotide transfer RNA is filed under the name Gammaproteobacteria bacterium. RNAcentral describes it as "tRNA-Leu". It matches the Rfam family "tRNA". From Rfam's summary of the family: Transfer RNA (tRNA) molecules are approximately 80 nucleotides in length. Their secondary structure includes four short double-helical elements and three loops (D, anti-codon, and T loops). Further hydrogen bonds mediate the characteristic L-shaped molecular structure. tRNAs have two regions of fundamental functional importance: the anti-codon, which is responsible for specific mRNA codon recognition, and the 3' end, to which the tRNAs corresponding amino acid is attached (by aminoacyl-tRNA synthetases). tRNAs cope with the degeneracy of the genetic code in two manners: having more than one tRNA (with a specific anti-codon) for a particular amino acid; and 'wobble' base-pairing, i.e. permitting non-standard base-pairing at the 3rd anti-codon position. The record is from RNAcentral. RNAcentral also lists the same sequence under 1 other name. Lineage: Bacteria; Pseudomonadati; Pseudomonadota; Gammaproteobacteria.
GCCGGGGUGGCGAAACUGGUAGACGCGCCGGAUUCAAAAUCCGGUUCUCGAAAGAGAGUGCGGGUUCGACUCCCGCCCCCGGCACCA